AUACGGAGGGUGCAAGCGUUACUCGGAAUCACUGGGCGUAAAGCGCGCGCAGGCGGUCUUUUAAGUUGGAUGUGAAAGCCUACGGCCCAACCGUAGAACUGCAUCCAAAACUAUUAGACUAGAGUGUGGGAGAGGAAGAUGGAAUUAGUUGUGUAGGGGUAAAAUCCGUAGAGAUAACUAGGAAUACCAAAAGCGAAGGCAAUCUUCUGGAACACUACUGACGCUGAGGCGCGAAAGCGUGGGGAGCAAACAGGAUUAGAAACCCUAGUAGUCC
Molecule: ribosomal RNA, 274 nt
Filed under: uncultured bacterium
Lineage: Bacteria
Description: partial 16S ribosomal RNA
Rfam family: Bacterial small subunit ribosomal RNA
Source: RNAcentral